RNAcentral lists this ribosomal RNA (468 nucleotides) under uncultured bacterium. RNAcentral describes it as "partial 16S ribosomal RNA". It matches the Rfam family "Bacterial small subunit ribosomal RNA", at positions 28 to 507 of the family's 1533-position model. The record is from RNAcentral.
GACGAACGCUGGCGGCGUGCUUAACACAUGCAAGUCGAACGGAAAGGCCCUGCUUUUGUGGGGUGCUCGAGUGGCGAACGGGUGAGUAACACGUGAGUAACCUGCCCUUGACUUUGGGAUAACUUCAGGAAACUGGGGCUAAUACCGGAUAGGAGCUCCUGCUGCAUGGUGGGGGUUGGAAAGUUUCGGCGGUUGGGGAUGGACUCGCGGCUUAUCAGCUUGUUGGUGGGGUAGUGGCUUACCAAGGCUUUGACGGGUAGCCGGCCUGAGAGGGUGACCGGCCACAUUGGGACUGAGAUACGGCCAAGACUCCUACGGGAGGCAGCAGUGGGGAAUAUUGCACAAUGGGCGGAAGCCUGAUGCAGCAACGCCGCGUGCGGGAUGACGGACUUCGGGUUGUAAACCGCUUUCGCCUGUGACGAAGCGUGAGUGACGGUAAUGGGUAAAGAAGCACCGGCUAACUACGUG